This 719-nucleotide long non-coding RNA is filed under the name Marmota monax (woodchuck). Lineage: Eukaryota; Metazoa; Chordata; Mammalia; Rodentia; Sciuridae. The record is from RNAcentral.
GAACAAAAUAUAAAAAGCACUGAAUGCACUGGAGAUCAACAUUUUGAAGAAGGAAAUGACACUGAAUGAGAUUCCUAGUUUUUAUAGCUUUUAGCCUAAGGAAAGGUCCCAUCCAAGGGCCAGCCAAAACUUGAAGAGAAAUCUACUCUUUCGUUGGUUUGAAAAAUCAAAAGAUAAAAUUCUAGCAACUAUUGCAAGUGAAAAGUAAAUGGGAAAUCUCAGGAAUGAGACAGUUCAACAAAGGAAGCCCCAUAUUCUGACUAUAAACUCUUUCAUAUUUUUGUCUGAUACCUGACCUUCACAUGUGCAAGACAUACUCUAGAUGGUACAAUUAAUGAUAAAUGAAUUACACUGAGAUUUCUGUUCUCUAUGCAUGGGAGACAGAGUUUGGGAUCUGAGUCCAGCCAAGAUUGUUUUUUUACUAAAACAAAAAUUAAUACUUUUCAGAAAAAUAAAACAUAAUCCAGACUUUAUAAAAUAUGUCACCCACAAUGUCCAGAACACAACCUAAAGUUACUAGGUAUGUGAAGAAAAAUGAAAAAUAAAACCUAGAGUCAAAAGCAAAAUAAAAAAUUACUGGAGACAACCCCUAAUCUACCCCAGGAUGACCUGGAUUUGGGAUUUAUCAAGCAAAUAUUUUAUAAUAUGUUUAAGGAUGUAAAGAAAAAUACACCUGAAUGGAUACAUAGAAAAUCUCAAGUCAAAACUAUAACAAGUGG